Molecule: long non-coding RNA, 5867 nt
Organism: Orcinus orca (killer whale)
Lineage: Eukaryota; Metazoa; Chordata; Mammalia; Artiodactyla; Delphinidae
Exons: 2
Source: RefSeq, a predicted model, not a curated record
CAGCAACACCCACUUUGGCACUGGGAAGCGAGCGGGCGGCGAGGGGUGUUAACCCGUGAGGAGCUGGGGGCGACGCAGGGCCGGCCCGAGGGCUAGUAGGCGAGAUGACGCCUGCCGGGACAGGGGCACCCAAGCCACCUUUCUCUUGUCCUGGGCAAACUGAACUGCUGACCUGUCCAGAGUUUAUCUCCCGCCCCUAACCUCAGGGACAAACUCCCUGUUCGAUGACCAAGGCUGCAGCCUCGAAGGUCUGAAGGAGGUCAGGAGAGGUACGAAGAACGGCAUGACAGAGACAGGACCCAAAGGCCGGGCCCCGGACCCUUCGCUUCCCGCCCGAGCCACUGGGGGCGUCGGCCGGGGUUGCGGCUAGAGCUGGGACAGCACGGGGCAGCUCGCCUGCCUCCGCCGCCGUGGGACGCGGGAGCGCCGGAAGGUCCCCUGGGGGCGCGCGCCCUCUAGUGGACUAGGCCGCGUCCUUGGCUAUCCUGCGGCCGGCAGAGACCUGUCGCUGCUAGCCGCCUUAGCUCCUUGAUCUUAAUCCCCUUCCUGCUGCGUCAGGAUCGAGCCUAGGCCUGAGGCGUUGAUGGCGGCGGAUCCUACAAGAGGUGUCUUCUCUUCCACAGGGGAACAAACAUGGAGGAUCUGGAAUAAGGUCACUCAAGGAGACAGCGUGUGUCCAAGAAGUGAAUGAAAUCCAGUCCUCCAGCCUGCGGCUCAGAUCCAUUUCCUAGAUUCCCAUCCAGCUCCUCACUCCCUCGGGAUUCGAUGAGCUUCUGAUUGAUGCACUGCGAACACUUAUGGAGUCUACUGUGAUCCAAGCGCCGUGCUAAGCAUGCUACGUGAAUUGGCUCCUUUAACCAAAGAAAGGAGGUGUUGUGAUUUCCAUGUACACAAAGGAGGAAACUGAGGCUGGGAAUAGUUACUGGCUUGCCCACGAUCACACAGCUGAUAAGCAGCUGAGGAAGUGUUCCAACCUUGGUCGUCUGCCACCUGAGCCCAGGCUUCUAAGACUGCACCACGUUGCCUUCACUCUGGGCUUGAGCCACGGCAGCCCUCCUGACAAUUGAGUGGUACCUUUUCCAGCCAUCUCUGCAGCUGUCCCCACCCAAGACUCUCCACCGCACGUUCCCCAGCCUCUUCCCUGACGGCUAGCCCACCACUCAAUUCCCAGGGGAUGGGUAUCAGAACUUUCUGUUCCCCUCUCCCUUCCCUGCUCAGGAAAAGAAGAGGAGCUAACCGUUUCCAGCAAGGCCCCUGACUCACCACGUGUCACUUCCCUACCCCUGAUUCCCGCUUCCCCCCUAAAGAGGCACAAAAUGUUGCUAAGCCAACUAACCCACCCCUCGGGUCUGGGGAGGGAAAUCAUCUCUGGAAACCCUGCAGAGAGAGUCCCAAGGGGCUGCUAAAAAGAUUCCAGUGGGGAAAGGUUUGCCGGGACACGUGCACCAUGAGAGGGGAUGGCAGUCUGCUAGACACUCGAGGCAACCUCAUUGCUUACCCAUGUCUUGUAAUAACGCCGGCAACCAGAGAGCUACCAGAACCUGAACUAACUUGGUCAAUAAGGACCAAAAACAAGGACCGCAUUUCUGCUCCCUUUGCUGAGACCCAGACUCUGGACAGAAUUCCAGGGAUUUUUCUUCCUUGGAAGUGACUGGACCUCCAGUCCUGAAUUCCUCUCCCCAGGAGAGCUUGUUACCCUGCUUAGAACAAAUAACACAUUUCCUGGUUAAUCAGUGGGCGGAAGAGCUGAAGGAAGGUUGAUUGGGCCCCCAGCCUUCCAGAUGGGAGCAGCUCACGGGCUCAGACAUCCUUGUCCAGAGACUGGGCAGCUGGGACCCUGCACCGUGCAGCCUCAGCCUCCAGUCUGGAAGGUAGAGGCUGUAUGAAAAGGCGCCAGUUCCCUCCUGCUCAAGGCCUCCAAGGCCCACAGGGGCUGCCAAGACCACGCCACCUCAGACGCCGUGGCCUGGCAACCCCCCAGUACUCACAGCCACCCUGCUCUGGUCUGCCAGUACUGUCCCCUCCGGGUGCAGUGAAUGUUUCUGUCUUCGGUGAGCUCAGCUCUCAGCUAUGCUUGGCUUCUAUUUUCCCAUCUGAAAAUAGAGAUAAUGAUGCUUUUCUUGCCACCCCACCUUCAGGGCAAAUAGAUAACCAGCCCUAUCUACCCUGUGAUGGGAGGGGUUCAAUGACUGCUACUUUCAUUUGCCAGUUGAUAUUUCUGGAGCUUUUGAAAGGUACCAGGCACUGUGCUAAGUGUUUUACAGUCAUUCUCCUUUAAUCCUCAUAAUAACCUUCUGAAGAAAGUACUAUUAUUUCAUCAUGUAGCAGAAGAGGGAAUGAAAGCUCAGAGAGGUAAAAUGACUUACCCACAAUCACAAAGCUAGUACUUGGUUACACUAGGAUUCACUCCUGGUUUUUCUGGUUCCAGACACUAUACACAGGCCAGCUUCCAGAGGAGCAUUUCUCAGGAAUCGCACCUCUGGCUGCUGAUGUCUGGGAACCAGAAGCAUUCACAGCCUUUUGUGGUGUGGUGUGAGGUGUUUGGUGCUGAUGGACACAUGAAAUGGCUGUCACGAGCUGGCCCCCAUCAAGCACAUCCCACUCUUCUCAGGCCUAUUUACAGCUAGGGGUCUAUUUUAGGUCAAGGGCAGGCAAAAGUCAUCAUGGGGAGUUUCACUGAAUCUGAUUCCCUCUCACCAAGGGGAAGGAAGGAAAUAAGCUUACCCUACAUCAAGUCGUUCUCCAUUUCUGAGUAAGGCCCAUCUCAACCCUCAGCUUCUCUCUUUAGAGCACAGACAGAGCAUCUACGUGGCCCUGUGAGGUAGGCAUCGUAAUUUCCACUUCACAGACUCAGAGGGGUGAAGUCUCUUGCUCAAGGUCAUACAGCCAGGAGUCGAGCCAGGAUUCAACUAAAAGGUCUGACUGGCUCCAAAGUCCGUGCUGUUUCCACUACAGCACACUGCACUCACUCCAGGAUGUCCUGCAAUGAUGUGGAAUGGCAGCUCUUCAAAAUAACUGAUUUCAUUCCGUUUCCCUUCAUUUCCAAUCCUUGAUACAAAGGUGGGCUGACCUGAAAGCUCUGUGCAUUUAGCUAAAGCUCAGACCACAUUUCCUAUUUACCUGCAUAAAUCCCUUCAGCUUCUGGCUGGAGUGGAAUCCUCUAGAACUCCUGGGGACUGAAGCAUAACUUCUCCCCGAGCUGAGUCUCUGAAGACCUGAGCAGGAAAACGACGUGAACAGCCUGGAAGGUCUCCUUCUUUUAAUUCCCCCCGUAAGACCACAGGGGUUUCAGGUGCUCUCCUGGCGAUGAGGGAGUUAUUCAGAUAGGGACAGAUUACACACUGUAUUAUCCUUUCCAAAUGCCCAGGGAGAAAGCCCUGUGGGCUGAAGGACGAUGCAGCCCUAUCCUGGAUUCUGGAACGGCUGGGCAGGGAUUUGAGGACAAGUUGAGCAGGAAACAAUUUUCCUCAGCUGUUGCUGAGGUCUCCCAGCCUGUCUCCAUCUGGCUUCCUGCUGGGACACGGCAGCAUCCCUCACAGCCCAAGGGAUAGGGGUUUGGGGGGACAGAGCACAGGGGCUGCCGUAGGGUCUUUCCCAGAAUAAGCCCAUAAGCAGCUCACUCUUGAUCAAGACAAAGAAAGAGGGGUGACACCUUCUGCCACCACCUUCUGAUGUCCAUUUUCCCCUAAUUAUACGCUGAGAAUCGGGAUACUCAGUGAGGUUUUCCCUGGUGCCCUGCAUCCCCUCUCUCUAGGACCCCAAGCCCUUAGGGACAGGCCCAAACCCCCAGACUCCCCAGGACAGGGUACAGACACCAGGCUUCGGUGGGGUGGGGGGCGGGUAGGAGGAGGUGCAGAUCCCAGUGGGCCCCAGCCAGUCUACAUGACUCAUUCCUUGUUUCCGUCCACUCUGGUCUGAGUGCUUUGGCCCAGGGGCCUCGGGGAGGUUGUAACACAGGCUGGCCCCUCGCCCAUCGGGACUCAGCAGACAAAAAUUAAAGAUCUCACUCCUCAGGAACUCACACAGACAGCAGAGGCAUGCUCUGUGCUCUGCCUCACCAGACCAGACCUCAGGCCGGAGGGGGCUGAUGGCCAAGGGAGGGAGGAAAGGCAUCUCUGGCCCCUCCCCUCCUCCUCACCCUCCACCUCCAGUCCUGAAGCCCUGGCCACCACGCACUUUCUUCUCACUCCUGCUGAGGCCCUGGCGUGAAGAUGCUGGUGCCACCAGCACCUCCUAGGCAGCACUCCAACCCCCCCCCCACCUCUGCCCGAAGACAGCAGUGAGGGAGAAACAGACUUGUAAACAACGAAUCAUACAUUUUUCUGGUUGCACAGGUUUGAUGAGACCAAAGCCUGCUCAACAGUCUUCAAUGGCUCCCCACUACCUCACAAAUCAAGCCCAGACUUCUUACUGGCCCCGCACCCAAGCGGGUCUCAUACCCUUCCCCUCCUGUUUGCAGAUACUCAACACAGUCCCACUCACCCAGAAUUCCCCCCAGUUUCCCCACCCACGUCCCCUUACCCAGAUUCCUCGGCUCACACCAUUUUCGUCACCUGGGAUGUUCUUCCCACCCCUGCCUGCCUGUCCUUUAUUUCCCAUCUGAAAACUCCCACUUCUUCCAAGAAGACUUCCUAGAACCCCACCGCCAAGUCCAGAAAGCUCGCUCCCUCCACUGAACUCCUGUACCGCCCUCUGCCCCGCAUGACUAGUCCACCACUGCAGGUCCCGGAGAAGUGGGAAAUCCACGGGGCUUUGGAGUGCCACUCGGCACCAUCAUUCACCAGCUGUGUGUCUUUGGCUAAAGUGACUUAACCUCUUUGAGCCAGUUUCCUCACCAGCAAGAGCCUGUCAUAGUAGUCCUUUAAAGCACAGUGCCUAGAUACAACUGUAUUUACCAGCACAACACUCCGGACCACAGCCGACUGGACCAGGGAUGAACACAUGAUCCGGGGCAGCCUUUACGUUGGCUGGUCAGUGAGCUAAGACUUCUGUACCUAAGACUUCUGUGGUCUGAUUUGAAUGCAUACGUCAUUGGUUACUAGCCAAAUAAGAUCCUCUCUUGAAAAUUUGAACUAAGCCACUUGAUUUUGAAAGCCAAGCCCUGGGAUUAAAACAACAGGUAAGUCCUCAUUCCCGAGAGCUCACAGUCGAAGGGGGUCCAUAUAACCAGAGAACAAUAAAGCCGAAGAGGUAUAAUGACUUGCCUGGGGUCACUACGCAGCUGGACAGUAACACAGAGAGGGCUGAAGCUCAGGUCUCUGGACCUGAAUUUGGUCCAGGGUAGUGGGCUUCUCUGACGGGCUCAAAAGGCAGUGGCCCUGAGCUGAUUGCCUGAAGAAGACCAAGGCUCCACCGGGCCCUGCAUCAACCUGUUCUGGGCAGCUUGGGAACAAGGCAGUCCUUCAAGGACAAGGUCAGAUCACAGCAGCGGGCACAGACCCUGGUUCUGGUCCUGCAUAUGCCCCCAGUGUCUCCCUGUUGUGCCCCUGGCCCUCCCCGGACUUCAGUUUCCUCAUGUAUAAAAGAGAGGGUUUUACUGGAUGAACUCAAAUUCCCUGUCAACACUAAGAUUUUGAUCUGAGGAGCAGACAGACAAGGGAUGGGCGUGGAUCCCACAGAAUGUGAACCCUGGAGAGGACCCCCCUGAGAGGGCAGCCAGCCCAUUCCUUCAAUUCACGGUUGAGGAAACUGAGGCCCGAAGCUGGAGAGAUGCUUGUCCAAGGUCACAUGACUGGCUACUGGCAGCCCCAGCACUUGAACCAGGGUCUCCUGACUCCCAGGCCUCUCAACUCUUUCUCUUUCAACUCCCUCAAGAAGCUGGGAGCUAUUUGGCUGUCUGGGCCAGGGAAGCCAAGAGUGGCUGUGCA